RNAcentral lists this ribosomal RNA (316 nucleotides) under uncultured eukaryote. RNAcentral describes it as "partial 18S ribosomal RNA". It matches the Rfam family "Eukaryotic small subunit ribosomal RNA", at positions 1470 to 1796 of the family's 1831-position model. The record is from RNAcentral.
CCCUUAGAUGUUCUGGGCUGCACGCGUGCUACACUGAUAUUGCCAAUAUGUCAUUCUUAUCCGAAAUGGAUUGGGUAAUCAAGUAAUGAAAUUUCAUGCUUGGAAUCGGUAAUUGCAAUUUUAUCGUGAACGAGGAAUUCCUAGUAAGCACUAGUCAUCAGCUAAUGUUGAUUAUGUCCCUGCCCUUUGUACACACCGCCCGUCGCUACUACCGAUUUCGAGUGGUCAGGUGAAUCUUUCGGACUGUGGGCGCCCUUGAGGUGUUCGCGGAAAGUCAGGUAAAUCUUAUCACUUAGAGGAAGUAAAAGUCGUAACA